GGAUGGGUGGCCGAGCGGUUUAAGGCACUGGUCUUGAAAACCAGCGAUGUGAAAGCAUCCGUGGGUUCGAAUCCCACCCCAUCCGCCA
RNAcentral lists this transfer RNA (88 nucleotides) under Sphingomicrobium sp. Its description in RNAcentral is "tRNA-Ser". It matches the Rfam family "tRNA". Rfam says of the family: Transfer RNA (tRNA) molecules are approximately 80 nucleotides in length. Their secondary structure includes four short double-helical elements and three loops (D, anti-codon, and T loops). RNAcentral also lists the same sequence under 2 other names. The record is from RNAcentral. Lineage: Bacteria; Pseudomonadati; Pseudomonadota; Alphaproteobacteria; Sphingomonadales; Sphingomicrobiaceae.